Molecule: ribosomal RNA, 446 nt
Filed under: uncultured bacterium
Lineage: Bacteria
Description: partial 16S ribosomal RNA
Rfam family: Bacterial small subunit ribosomal RNA
Source: RNAcentral
CCUACGGGGGGCUGCAGUCGAGAAUCAUUCACAAUGGGGGAAACCCUGAUGGUGCGACGCCGCGUGGGGGAAUGAAGGUCUUCGGAUUGUAAACCCCUGUCAUGUGGGAGCAAAUUAAAAAGAUAGUACCACAAGAGGAAGAGACGGCUAACUCUGUGACAGCAGCCGCGGUAAUACAGAGGUCUCAAGCGUUGUUCGGAAUCACUGGGCGUAAGGCGUGCGUAGGCUGUUUCGUAAGUCGUGUGUGAAAGGCGCGGGCUCAACCCGCGGACGGCACAUGAUACUGCGAGACUAGAGUAAUGGAGGGGGAACCGGAAUUCUCGGUGUAGCAGUGAAAUGCGUAGAUAUCGAGAGGAACACUCGUGGCGAAGGCGGGUUCCUGGACAUUAACUGACGCUGAGGCACGAAGGCCAGGGGAGCGAAAGGGAUUAGAUACCCGUGUAGUC